AGUUUCACUCAUACUCUAGAAACGAAAACAUGUUCACAUAGAAACUUGUACACAAAUGUUUACAACAGCAUUAUUCCUAAUAGCCAAAUG
This is a long non-coding RNA of Sapajus apella (tufted capuchin), 90 nucleotides long. RefSeq lists it as uncharacterized. The transcript is spliced from 3 exons. NCBI's taxonomy places the organism in Eukaryota, Metazoa, Chordata, Mammalia, Primates, Cebidae. The record is from RefSeq and is a predicted model, not a curated record.